Long non-coding RNA from Ictalurus punctatus (channel catfish), 2940 nucleotides. RefSeq lists it as uncharacterized. The record is from RefSeq and is a predicted model, not a curated record. The transcript has 3 exons. Lineage: Eukaryota; Metazoa; Chordata; Actinopteri; Siluriformes; Ictaluridae.
AGUAAUAAAGAAUGUGAUAAAGAAAGUCCCUUCCAGCGUAAAAGCAUUUCCAUGGAACCUGUUACGAGCACAGAUUUAAUGUAUUAACAUAAUCCAAAUGUUUAAAUAUUAGGCACAUUAGACAAACGCAUACCAUCAAAUUUAUUUAUUAGAGCCAUUAGACAAUUUUAAUUCCUGAAUUUCCACAAACAGAAACCCAAACCACUUGGAUCAUUUGAUCACUUUUCCUAGUUCUAUGAAAAUUACAGUUCAAGUUGACGUUAUUUAUUUAAGUCACAGAGGAAAUUAAGUACUUCCUUUAAGAAACAUGUUUGUGUGACUGACAUAAUUUUAAACCCAUUCAACUGGACUUAUGACAUUAAUAACUAAAUAAUAACAAUAGUAAAAACUGGUAGUAAUAAUAAUCUCCACCACCAGCAUGUCAUUUUAAAAAAUGAUAAUGAAAAAUGCAGACUCUCUGAAUGGAUCAGACAUUAAGAGCCAGAGAAACAUUAAAGUUUUUAAUUUUUACAGUUGUUUGAAGACACAAAUCAGAUGCUAGUUUAUUCAGCGUACCAUAGUUCAUUUAGUACAAAAAACACAAUACCGUCUCUGUGGUCUUAUAGGUCAUGGUUCCUGUAGGACACAUUAUGCAAGGACACUAUGUUACUCUAGUACUGCUUUGAGAACAGCCUCUUGAUUCUACUGGUAUGAAAGACAAGUGUAAAUAAAGCACCUUGUUGAAAAGGAAGGUCUAAAUGCUACACGGCAAGAAAUGAAAUCUCUCUCUCUCCCUCUCUCUCUCUCUCUCUCACACACCCCUCUCUGUCUCUCGCUUUAUUGGAGCUGACACAUUUUCUCUGCUCAUUAGAGCUGAGUGGCAGUGAAUUCCCUACAGCUGCGUGGGACAGUCCUGUAGCCUGCCCCACAAUCGUGUUCUCCUGCUACACAUUUGCUUGAGAGUUGUUUUCCCUGGCGACUCCCGGCUUCCGUUCCCAGGCUGGGAGGUGGGCCAGUGGCCACAGUACACAUACUUUCCAGCUCUGAAGGCCAGCGGAGGCUCCUCCUGUCCAAAUAGCCCUGCAGGAAGAACUCCACUCCUGAUCACUGCCACUGCUCCACACUGUCACUCCACUUCACAGACCUGUGAUCAGAGAAUGGUUACGGUGGAUCCAGAGUCUAUCCCAGGAACACUGGGUGCAAGAUGGCGGGAAUACACCCUGGAUGGGAUGCAGAGCAUGUGAGCAGAGUGGAGCAGAUAGCGGAGCACUGAUAAUUCCACCUUUCUUAAGAUUCCGAAAACUGAGAAAUAGGCGGCUGUGGCUCAGUUGGUAGAGCGGGUUGCCUGCUAAUAGGGUUGGCGGUUCGAUUCCUGGCCCGGGUGACUCCACAUGUCGAAGUGUCCUUGGGCAAGACACUGUACCCCAAAUUGCUCCCGAUGGUAAGCUAGCAUGGCAACUCCUGCUACCACUGGGGUGUGUGUGUGAAUGGGUGAAUGAGACACAGUGUAAAGUGCUUUGGAUAAAAGUGCUAUAUAAGUGUGCCAUUUACCAUUUAAAUAGGAAUUAAAAAUUAAUAGAAAUGAAUAAAAGGCACAGAAUGUCACACACAAAAAUGAUUAUCUCUACUAAUGUAAUUGAGGCAUUUAUUCAAGAAAAUAGAAACAAGUAUAUUACAGAGAAAUUUUAUGUCAGAGCAGGAUUUGAGCGAACUUUGUUUUAUCGGUGAGCGUGAGCAGUACGAGUGGAGUGUUUGCUUGGGACGUGAGUGAUUGAGCAGAGCGCACUUGCAUAGAGCAGAUUAUUGAGUUCAGUGUCACACUGCUCCGUUUCACCCACAUGCUUUGAUGGGGUGCCAUGACACCAUGCUCGCACAUAUUUAUAUACUCAUGCAUGCUAAGGGGCAAUUUAUCUUAGCCUGACCACCUACUGGCAUGUUUUUGUGAGGUUGGAGGAAACUGGAGGAAACCCAGAGAGAACUGGCUUGAACCCUGGAGCUGUGAGGUGGCAAUGCUACCUGCUGAAACACCAUGCUACUUUUGUUGGGAACUCAACAUAUAAUAACAAGUACCUUCACCACUCCUGUUAGUACCCACCAAUUAAUUUCCAAUCUAUCCCCUGGACCCAGGCAUUUUGAAAGAGUUCUCAUAAUGCCCCUGUCUACACCUAUAAAGCUCAUCAUUCAUUCAUUUUCACUAACCACUUUAUCCUGGUCAAUGUUGUGCUGAAUUCAUAGCUCAUCCCUGGAACACUAGAAAUACACUCUGGAUGGGGCACCAGUAAAUCGCAGGACACCACAAACACAUCUGCAUACAUGAAUGUGCGUGGCAAUUAUAAAGAAAGAGUAGAGUGAGAGGAAACUAGAAGAAACCCACGUGGUCACAGGAAGAACACGUGAUUCUCCACACACAGUAAUGCGAGCUCAUGGUCAAACUGGGGAUAGUGGAACUGUGAGGCGGCACCGUUACCUGCUGCACCACUGUGUAAACCCCUUACAGAAGUCACAUAUUACUCGCACAAAUAAACAUGCAAUUCAGAAACUAAAUACACUGUAAAAUAAAGUUCACAUCCAUUGAACAUUCCCAUUUGUGCACGUGAAAACUAGUCUGUUAAUCACCGAGCCAACAGAUUUAGCCAAAGCAACGACACAGCCAGUGUCUUACAUCACAAUAAUUAAACAUCUUGAGUGUACACGAGGCCGUCUUUGACCAUGCUGUGAGUUUCAUCCUACUUUUUCUUACUCAGUCAGUAAAUUGCCACACAGCACACCAUGGUUUCAUGUAGGCACCAAGCUGAAGCUGAACAUCAGUCUACUAGGCUUUUAUGUGAUGUGAGUAAAACACUAAUCCAUGCAAAUUGCAUAAUGAUAGGGGCACUGAUUUGCACAUUUGGUAGACUUUUAUGUCAGUGCAGUAAUCAUUUGCAGAGGCUGUAUGGUAGUAAAGCCAAAAAGCAGCUGUGG